This 923-nucleotide ribosomal RNA is filed under the name Bacillus wiedmannii. Its description in RNAcentral is "bacterial SSU rRNA". It matches the Rfam family "Bacterial small subunit ribosomal RNA", at positions 280 to 1177 of the family's 1533-position model. The record is from RNAcentral. Lineage: Bacteria; Bacillati; Bacillota; Bacilli; Caryophanales; Bacillaceae.
UGCGUAGCCGACCUGAGAGGGGUGAUUGGCCACACAUGGGAAUGAGACACGGCCCAGACUUCUACGGGAGGCAGCAGUAGGGAAUUCUUCGCAAUGGACGAAAGUUUGACGGAGCAACCCCGCGUGAGUGAUGAAGGCUUUCGGGUUGUAAAACUUUGUUGUUAGGGAAGAACAAGUGCUAGUUGAAUAAGCUGGCACCUUGACGGUACCUAACCAGAAAGCCACGGCUAACUACGUGCCAGCAGCCGCGGUAAUACGUAGGUGGCAAGCGUUAUCCGGAAUUAUUGGGCGUAAAGCGCGCGCAGGUGGUUUCUUAAGUCUGAUGUGAAAGCCCACGGCUCAACCGUGGAGGGUCAUUGGAAACUGGGAGACUUGAGUGCAGAAGAGGAAAGUGGAAUUCCAUGUGUAGCGGUGAAAUGCGUAGAGAUAUGGAGGAACACCAGUGGCGAAGGCGACUUUCUGGUCUGUAACUGACACUGAGGCGCGAAAGCGUGGGGAGCAAACAGGUAUUAGAUACCCUGGUAGUCCACGCCGUAAACGAUGAGUGCUAAGUGGUUAGAGGGUUUCCGCCUCUUUAGUGCUGAAGUUAACGCAUAUAAGCACUCCUGCCUGGGGAGUACGGCCGGGCAAGGAUGAAACUCAAAGGAAUUGACGGGGGCCCGCACAAGCGGUGGAGCAUGUGGGUGAAUUCGAACGCAACGCAAAAAACCUUACCAGGUCUUGACAUCCUCUAAAAACCCUAAAAAAAAAGGCUUCUCCUUCAGAAACAGAAGAAAAGGGGGUGCAUGGGUGGUCGUCAGCUCCUCCCGUCGUGAGAUGUAGGGUUAAGUCCCACAACCAGCGCAACCCCCCUUGAUCUUAGUUGCCAUCAUUAAGUUGGGCACUCUAACGUGACUGUGAGUGACAAACAGAAGGAGGGAGGG